CAAGUCGAACGAGAAAGCACCUUCGGGUGUGAGUAGAGUGGCGAACGGGUGAGUAACACGUGAGCAACCUGCCUCUCACUUCGGAAUAACUCAGGGAAACCUGUGCUAAUACCGGAUACUCCGUACAUUCCGCAUGCUAUGUACGGGAAAGCCUUGUGCGGUGAGAGAUGGGCUCGCGGCCCAUUAGGUAGUUGGUGGGGUAACGGCCUACCAAGCCGACGAUGGGUAGCCGGGUUGAGAGACCGACCGGCCACAUUGGGACUGAGACACGGCCCAGACUCC
This 282-nucleotide ribosomal RNA is filed under the name uncultured bacterium. RNAcentral describes it as "partial 16S ribosomal RNA". It matches the Rfam family "Bacterial small subunit ribosomal RNA", at positions 58 to 339 of the family's 1533-position model. The record is from RNAcentral.